This 478-nucleotide ribosomal RNA is filed under the name uncultured bacterium. Its description in RNAcentral is "partial 16S ribosomal RNA". It matches the Rfam family "Bacterial small subunit ribosomal RNA", at positions 28 to 507 of the family's 1533-position model. The record is from RNAcentral.
GAUGAACGCUGGCGGCGUGCUUAACACAUGCAAGUCGAACGAGAAAUGGGGACGGAAACCUUCGGGCGGAAGGCUUCAUUUCGAGUGGCGGACGGGUGAGUAACGCGUGGGUAACCUGCCUCAUACAGGGGGAUAACAGUUGGAAACGACUGUUAAUACCGCAUAAGACCACAGCACCGCAUGGUGCGGGGGUAAAAACUCCGGUGGUAUGAGAUGGACCCGCGUUCGAUUAGCCAGUUGGCGGGGUAACGGCCCACCAAAGCGACGAUCGAUAGCCGAUCUGAGAGGAUGACCGGCCACAUUGGGACUGAGACACGGCCCAAACUCCUACGGGAGGCAGCAGUGGGGAAUAUUGCACAAUGGGGGAAACCCUGAUGCAGCGACGCCGCGUGAGUGAAGAAGUACUUCGGUAUGUAAAGCUCUAUCAGCAGGGAAGAAAAUGACGGUACCUGAGUAAGAAGCCCCGGCUAACUACGUG